GGGGCUCACAUCAAUGUCCUCCCAUCUUACCCCUGCCAGUCCCCAGCGCCCAGCACAAGGCUGGACACAGAAAUAAACAUCGCCCUUUGGAAUAAACAAAUGUGAGAGUGACUCCUGACCUGAACAGCCCAGCCCCCUACCCCGGGCCUUUCCCAGCUGUCAUAAAUCUAAUGGCUUUUAUUGCCCUAGGAUUUUUACAGUACCCAUUACCAUAGCAGUUGGGAACUUAAUUGGCAAAAUUAAGGACAUGUACUUAGGAACUUCUAGUAAAUAUUUGCUAAUGGAUUCAUAUUAGCAGGUCCUGCUGGGACAUCUGGUACAGUCAGAACUUGUCUGCCUAAAAACUUGUCCCAAAGCUGGGGGAAGCUGUUUCCUGGCCUGAACUUUCUCUGGGGCUGUGAGAGGCGAGGGCUCAGGAAAAGAUGGUCAGGUUCAGUGGAAUUUGGAUCCUUGAAAGGAAGAAAAGGGUGACGGAAAGGGCAGAGGGAACUGCAACUGGAUCCUAAGCCACCCCGUCUGUGACCUGGGCCUUGUCACCGCAAGGCUCUCGUGUUGGUUGGAACUCCGAGAGCGCCGACAGACAACACGAGGCGGUGUGGAGCGACAGGCUGUUUCAGCGAGCGCCCAGGUGCGGGCGGCUCGAGGCCUAAAAUGGCGUCAGCACCAAAUGAGGGCGGGGCAGGGGUUUUAUGGUCUCCUGGAAACAGGAAGUGUCUCAGUCUGACGUAACUGCUACGCGGUACCCGGAUGGCCUCUCUCCGGGUCUUCGGGGGUGCGCGUCUUCCGGCCGACCCUCCUCCUGCUCCUGCUAUGUUGCUGACCCACGCUGCUGGCGCGAGUGGUCUUGCCCCUCGGGACCCGAGGAGGGAGGAGUUCUUCGUUCCCUUCAGCUUUCAGGCCCCAGGGAGAACCUUUCAGUCACAGGCAGCCUAGGUUCAAGAAGAAGAAAACCUGAGGCCUCGGCUCACCCUGACAGGGAAGUGGCGUGGGGACCGCUAAAGGACUGCGAGGUUCCACUGCCCAGGGCUGUCUAACCGCUUGCUUUAGACUGUGGGUGCACGGAGUCCGUCACUCAGCCUCCAGGACCAGGGCUCCUGAUGUGUGAGCGCGUUCCAUUCCCCCAUUCCCACAAGAACCCUCGCUCCCGCGAAGGCCUCCUGAGCUUGCGCGACUCCGCUGGGCCUUGGAGAGCUCUGGGGAGGGAGGCGCCUCUCCAGCACCCAGAUCCCCAGCCUGCAGCGCCUCGGGGCCAGUGUGGCCCGGAAUGGCAGGUUUGUCACACACUGCCGCUGGAGUGGGACUUGGCGUGGCUUUUCUGGAGGGCGACCUACAUCAAGGGGCAUGCAUGCGCCCUUUGAGCUACAGAUUUCUCAGCUGGGAAUGAAUUAUGAAUGUCCUUUAGCCUUGGCCGAGAGGGUGUACAGCUCUGCAGUGUUCCUGUCGGAAACUGGAAAUAGCCUGAGUGCAAAUCCAGGAAGGCCAUUCACGACGUUGUCACAGAAGAAGUGGAGGUCAGUACCACUGCCAUCAUGACUGCAAGCAGAGCAAAUGGACAGAGCUCGCAGAGUGGCCCCAGAGCCUGCCUGGGCCCCCUUCUCACUGCUCCUCCACUCCCUGGUCUGCUGAGAGCUUGAGACACACCCUGCAAGUGUACCCUGCUGCUCCUGCCAGGUCUAGCUCCCACCAUUGGCACCACUCUGCCCAGCCCUGGCCAGUGGUACUGUUUGCAGUUAGCUUCUCACUGCCCUCUCACUGCUACUGGGGUGGGCCAUGGACCUGCAGCUGCCCCGUCCUGCCAAGAGGCUUUACCCCCAUGGCUGGGCUUCUGCUUGGGCUUACACUCCCAUAUCUGGAGGGAUUAGUACCUUGUGCCAGAUUCAACACCCCCAGAGGGGCCUUGCCCCUGGAACUCUGCCCAGUUGGUGCCAGCUGCCUUCUCCAGGGUCUGGACCUGUCCACUGUCCAUGGCCUCCAGCCACUGCAUGGAGUCCUCCAUGCUGGUUGGACCCAGCAGUUAGAACUUUCUGAGAGCAUGGCCAAGACUGAAAGCCUCAAUUCAGAACCAAAGCUGGUAGGCUACGUGGAGGUCAUUUCUAUAUGAAGUAAGGAAACACUUUCAAUGGGUUGUGUGGACCAAAACUGUUGAUGCUGCCUUGGGUGCAGUGAGCCAUCUAGGGAAGACCCCGUCCUUGCCUCUCCACGGUUUCUGGUGGCUGCUGGCAAUCCUGGGCCUUUGCUGGCUUGUAGCUGCAUCACUCCAAUCUCUGCCUCCACCGUCACAUGACCUCCUUCCCUGUGUGUCUGCA
Molecule: long non-coding RNA, 2306 nt
Filed under: Homo sapiens (human)
Lineage: Eukaryota; Metazoa; Chordata; Mammalia; Primates; Hominidae
Description: long non-coding RNA NONHSAT156388.1
Source: RNAcentral